This 488-nucleotide ribosomal RNA is filed under the name uncultured bacterium. RNAcentral describes it as "partial 16S ribosomal RNA". It matches the Rfam family "Bacterial small subunit ribosomal RNA", at positions 30 to 523 of the family's 1533-position model. The record is from RNAcentral.
AUUGAACGCUGGCGGCAGGCUUAACACAUGCAAGUCGAGCGGGGACUUCGGUCCUAGCGGCGAACGGGUGAGGAAUGCUUGGGAAUCUGCCCAGUAGCGGGGGAUAACGUUUCAAAAGGAACGCUAAUACCGCAUACGCCCUACGGGGGAAAGGGGGGGAUCUUCGGACCUCUCACUAUUGGAUGAGCCCAAGUCGGAUUAGCUAGUUGGUGAGGUAAAGGCUCACCAAGGCGACGAUCCGUAGCUGGUCUGAGAGGAUGAUCAGCCACACUGGAACUGAGGACCGGUCCAGACUCCUACGGGAGGCAGCAGUGGGGAAUAUUGGACAAUGGGCGAAAGCCUGAUCCAGCCAUGCCGCGUGUGUGAAGAAGGCCUUCGGGUUGUAAAGCACUUUAAGCGAGGAGGAAUGGCUCCGGGUUAAUACCCUUGAGCAUAGACGUUACUCGCAGAAUAAGCACCGGCUAACUCUGUGCCAGCCGCCGCGGUAA